AAUGAACGUUGGCGGCGUGGAUUAGGCAUGCAAGUCGCGCGAGACCUUGCAGAUGGAAGCUUCGGCCGAAGUCUGCAAGUGAAAGCGGCGAAAGGGAGAGUAACGCGUGGAUACCUACCCCCGGGUCUGGGAUAGCGUCGGGAAAACUGGCGGUAAUACCAGAAAUGUCUCCGGACCAUAGGUGUGAUUCCGUCUGGGGAUGGGUCCGCGUCCUAUUAGCUUGUUGGUGGGGUAACGGCCUACCAAGGCGAAGAUGGGUAGCGGGCGUGAGAGCGUGGCCCGUCUCACUGGGACUGAGACACUGCCCAGACACCUACGGGUGGCUGCAGUCGAGAAUCUUCGGCAAUGGGCGCAAGCCUGACCGAGCGACGCCGCGUGCGGGAUGAAGGCCUUCGGGUUGUAAACCGCUGUCAGGAGGAAGGAAAUGCAUAGGGGUACUCUCCUAUGUUUGACCGAUCUCCAAAGGAAGUGCGGGCUAAGUACGUGCCAGCAGCCGCGGUAAUACGUACCCCACGAACGUUAUUCGGAAUCACUGGGCUUAAAGGGUGCGUAGGCGGCUUGGAAGGUGGGGUGUGAAAUCCCUCGGCUCAACCGAGGAACUGCGCUCCAAACCGCCAGGCUUGAGGGAGGCAGAGGUGAGCGGAACUGAUGGUGGAGCGGUGAAAUGCGUUGAUAUCAUCAGGAACACCAGUGGCGAAGGCGGCUCACUGGGCCUCUUCUGACGCUGAGGCACGAAAGCUAGGGUAGCGAACGGGAUUAGAUACCCCGGUAGUCCUAGCUGUAAACGAUGAGCACUGGAUCGAGGGGGCCUCCACACCCUCUCGGUCGUAGCGAAAGUGUUAAGUGCUCCGCCUGGGGAGAUGGUCGCAAGGCU
RNAcentral lists this ribosomal RNA (874 nucleotides) under uncultured Planctomycetota bacterium. Its description in RNAcentral is "bacterial SSU rRNA". It matches the Rfam family "Bacterial small subunit ribosomal RNA", at positions 28 to 895 of the family's 1533-position model. The record is from RNAcentral. Lineage: Bacteria; Pseudomonadati; Planctomycetota.